GUCUGCGGCCAUGCCACCCUGAAUAAGCCCGAUGUCUGAUCUUGGAAGCUAAGCGGGGGUCAGGCCUGGUUAGUACUUGGAUGGGAGACCACCUAGGAAGACCAGGUGCUAUAGGCA
This 117-nucleotide ribosomal RNA is filed under the name Pteropus alecto (black flying fox). Lineage: Eukaryota; Metazoa; Chordata; Mammalia; Chiroptera; Pteropodidae. The record is from RNAcentral.